AUGGCUACCACGCCGGUGCUCCACGACGCGCUGCUCGACUUUACUUCGCGGGAGAACUGGGACAAGUUCUUUGCCCUCCGCGGCGAUGGCGACAGCUUCGAGUGGUACGCGGAGUGGCCGCAAAUCAAGGCCCCGCUCCUGUCGCUCCUCCUUGGGGAAGAGGGGACUGAGAUCCUUGUCCCGGGGUGCGGGAGCUCGUCGCUCUCGGAGCAGCUGUACGACCUGGGGUUCCGCCGCAUCACCAACGUCGACUUCUCCCGUAUCAUCGUGGCCGACAUGCUCCGCCGGCACGCCCGUGUGCGCCCUCAGAUGCGUUGGCGCGUCAUGGACAUGACCAACAUGCAGUUUCCAGAUGGUUCGUUUGAUUUCAUACUUGAUAAGGGAGGAUUGGAUGCUCUUAUGGAGCCGGAGGUUGGCACAAAACUGGGGAUGAAAUAUCUAGACGAGGCCAAGAGGGUUUUGAAGUCAGGCGGGAAAUUUGCGUGCUUUACUCUAGCAGAAUCCCAUGUUUUAGACCUACUUUUGUCUGAGUUCAGGUUUGGAUGGGAUAUGACUAUUCAAGCUAUAGCUAGUGAACCCUCUAGCAAGUCUGCCUUCCAGACCUUCAUGUUGGUCAUGGUAAAAGGGAAGAUGGGUGUUGUACACACAAUAAAAUCACUAGUGGACCAGUCUGCUGAAUACUGUAACAUGCAACAGGCAAAUGCUGUAAUUCAUGCUCUGCAAAAUGAGAACAAAAUCCGGGAGUCACACAAUUCUGGUGUUGAUAUACUUUUCUCGUUGCGAGAUCUUCAGCUGGGUGCUAUUGGAGAUCUAAAGGUUAUUGUCCCAGGACGAAGGAGGCAGUUAAUUCUCGGUGAACAAGGAAGCUCAUUGUAUUGCUACAAAGCUGUUUUAAUGGAUGCCAAGAAUCAAAACGAGACAUUUGUAUACCACUGUGGAGUUUUUAUUGUGCCUAAGGCACGAGCUCAGGAAUGGUUAUUUGCUUCAGAGGAAGGGCAGUGGCUUGUUGUUGAAAGUGCAAAGGCUGCUCGUCUAAUCAUGGUAUUCCUCGAUAGCAGACAUGCAAGUGCUGACAUUGAUGUUGUUAAGAAGGAUUUAUCUCCUCUUGUUAUGGAUCUAGAACCUGAAUAUCCUGAAGAGACAGACCCUAUGCCAUUCAUGAUGGCUAGUGAUGGCGUGAAACAAAGAGAUAUUCUGCAGGAGGUAACAUCAGAAAUAACAGGUCCUAUGGUUGUGGAAGAUGUUCUUUAUGAAAAUGUUGAUGGAGAUCAAAGCUGCAUGUCUGAAAAAAUGUUCCGACGACUUAUUUUUAAAAGAAGUUCUGGCUUAGUGCAAUCUGAAGCAUUGUUAAUCAGAGAAUCACCAAGUGACGAGACGGACAGUAAGACCAAGAACUCAUCUGCAUCAUCAAAAAAGAAGAGCCAGAAAAAGGGACUCACUGGAUCCAAGGACAGUCUCAGGGUCGACCAUAGCUAUCUUGGUAGCUCUUAUCACAGUAGUAUCAUAUGUGGGCUUUCUUUAGUUGCAUCUGCUCUGAGUGCUGCGGCAUCAUCUGGAGAAAGGGUGAGUACCACUAUUGUAGGCCUUGGGGCCGGGAGUUUACCAAUGUUUCUUCAUGGAUGCCUCCCUCAUCUUAAUAUUGAGGUGGUUGAGUUGGACCCCAUGAUGGAGGAGGUAGCAACGAAAUAUUUUGGCUUUUCAAUGGAUGAGCAAUUGAAGGUGCAUUUGGGGGAUGGAAUCAAAUUCAUUGAAGAAAAUGCCCAUUCUGAACCAAAUGGCAAAGACAGUGACGCAGUUAGAAUUCUUAUUGUUGAUGUUGAUUCAUCUGAUCUAAGUUCUGGGUUGUCUUGCCCCCCAGCAAACUUUGUCGAAGAUGCUUUCCUUAUGUCAGCAAAAAAGUUCCUUUCAGCUGGGGGCCUCCUCAUCAUCAAUCUAGUCGCGCGAUCAUCUGCAGUCAGGGAAAUGGUCAUUUCACGAUUGAAAGCGGUCUUUGAAAACCUAUACUCACUGCAACUCGAAGAAGAUGUGAACGAAGUCCUGUUUGCAUCCCCAAGCAAAAGAUACCUGGAAAUCGAUCACCUUGAUGAGGCUGCAACUAAACUGAAGGCUAUGCUGAAAUUCCUGGUGGAUGUGGAAUCAGAUAUGAAGAAUUUGCAGAGGCUGCAGUAG
This 2169-nucleotide ribosomal RNA is filed under the name Triticum aestivum (bread wheat). Its description in RNAcentral is "partial small subunit ribosomal RNA". Lineage: Eukaryota; Viridiplantae; Streptophyta; Magnoliopsida; Poales; Poaceae. The record is from RNAcentral.